UGGUACAGUACUAACAGGCUACUCAACAACAACAGACGAGAUUACAUUACCCCCCAUAAUCCCAGUUAAGGUGGAUGGAGAAGUUUUCUGGGCAUUUUUGGACACAGGAUCGGGCAUGAAUUUUAUUUCAAAGAAAGCAGUAAAGAAACUUCAAGUUUCUGCAGCACGACAUGAAUCGAAAGAAACCAUCACCAUUAAUGGAACAAAAAGACAGUCCAUGCUUAUUUACAAUGUAACAAUCGAAUCAUUAGAUGGAUCAACCAAGGAAGAUAUAGAGCUAGCCGGGUCGACAAUGAAAGAUUUCACAACAGUGAAAAAAUUGGACAUGAACAAACUUAAAUGGAAUUAUGAACACACAAAGGAUAAGAGGUUUUACAUGACAAGAGAUGGUGAAUAUCCAAUACACUUGAUCUUAGGUGACAACACCUUCUGCAAGAUUAAGACAGAGGAAAUCUACAAAGGAAAAGAUGGCGAUCCUAUCGUUGAAGGUACUUCGUUUGGUUGGAUUGUUCAUGGUGGUGAUAUUUCGAACAAUGUGUGUAUGUUUACAAGAGAACCAAAUGACUACGAGCAAUUGUAUACACUGGAUGUAGUUGGAAUUGAAGAUAGAGGGGAGAACGACCGAUUGGACGUUUAUCAUGAAUUUAAAGAAAACAUUACUCGGGCUGAUGACGGUAGAUAUCAAGUCAAAGUACCAUCGAUUCCAGGACAUUCUUUACCAAAAUAGCAAUCUAGAACCAAGUGGAAAGCGAUUAGCUAACGUAUGCAAAAAGAUCGAGCGAGAUGAGAAGGUAAACAACAAUUAUGAUGAAACAAUCGAGAAGCAAUUAGAAUCGGGUAUCAUUGAAGGUGCACCAGUGAAACCGAAUGGUGAACGAGUAGAUCAU
Paramuricea clavata is the source of this 887-nucleotide non-coding RNA. The record is from the annotation of a GenBank genome assembly. NCBI's taxonomy places the organism in Eukaryota, Metazoa, Cnidaria, Anthozoa, Malacalcyonacea, Plexauridae.